RNAcentral lists this ribosomal RNA (262 nucleotides) under uncultured bacterium. RNAcentral's name for it is "partial 16S ribosomal RNA". It matches the Rfam family "Bacterial small subunit ribosomal RNA", at positions 526 to 779 of the family's 1533-position model. The record is from RNAcentral.
CGUAGGGCGCAAGCGUUAUCCGGAAUUAUUGGGCGUAAAGAGCUUGUAGGCGGUUCGUCGCGUCUGGUGUGAAAGCCCCAUCGCUUAACGGUGGGUUUGCGCCGGGUACGGGCGGGCUAGAGUGCAGUAGGGAGACGUGGAAGUUCUCGGUGUAACGGUGGAAUGUGUAGAUAUCGGGAAGAACACCAAUAGGCGAAGGCAGGUCGUCUGGGCGUGUUACUUGACGCUGAGAAGACGAAAGCGUGGGGAGGCGAACAGGAUU